GGGGGGGAGGAUUUUGACGAUGAAUUAAAGCCUAAUCAUUUUAUUACACCAGACUUUUGUGUUAACUAAGAUUAUUUGGGAUCCCUAAACACACUCUCACAAAUUCGGGGGUAUCCCAAGUAUCUCUCCGGAGUUCAGGGUGCACGGGAAUCCUCAUAUGGGUGUAUUAACAAUGUGUGUGUGGUUAAUGAGGUAGGCCAGGAACAGAGGGUCCUGGGAAGGAAUCUCUUCAUCUCCAUUUCUCCACACCUCAUCACCGAUGCUGUCAACAAAGCCCAUGUCGCCGUCAUCAGCAUCUUGCUUUUGCUAUGUUCAGUUUACUUUGGAGGUCUUCAGUAAUUGUCCCCUAAGACAAUGUUAAAGGUCAGCUUCAAAUUUUACGUCCGUUGUUUAAAAAGCGGUGUGACUCCUCUCAUGUUUUCUAAAAGGUUUUCACUCUGUUUCCUCGGAGAUGUUGCUUUCCAACAGCCAGCUUCCCAUCACCUCCGUGUUCUACUUCCAGAACGGCCACGCAUGCGUAGUAAGCGGUGUUCUGAGCAAUAGGCGUUCCCGGGGACCGGAAUCUAGGUCUGAGUGGCCUCCUCUAUGGCUCAGGGACUAGGAAGCAGAGACAACUCGGCAUUUGAGAGAGAUGCUCCUGCAGGGGAUUCAAGUUUAGUUCCAAACACCCAUAUUAGGCAACACACAGCACAAGACUACCUGUGAUUCCAGCUCUGGAGGGCCCACUGCCUGCCAGCUUCCUCAGGGACCCACACACAGAUGCCCACACCCACACUCAGCCAAAUCUUCACCAGACGAUGGCCGAGAGCCAUGCCACUGGAGCAUGCAGUUAUCAGGGAGACAAAGACUCCCGGAUCUUCAACUACAUGACAACGUGAAGACGGAGCAAGAGAAAGAAAGGGCAGAGCCAAGAGGAGCAGAAAGGGAUGGAGAAGAUGGAAAAUGUCAAGGAAAUCAGUAUCAUGGUGCCUUCGCAGAGUGCAGAGCUCCCUCCAUUGGCGGUGCCUGUGAGUCCCAUGGGCUGAACACUGACUGAGGAACCAGAGACUCUUCUAAGGAGGACGCAAGGUACUUGUUACAGGACACCUCCACCCUCCAUGUCCCCUUUCUGUCCAGCUCCCAUCUCGGGUGUGGCUUGAUCAACAUCUAAUCUGCCCUGCCUCGCCAGCUUCAUCUU
Molecule: long non-coding RNA, 1177 nt
Filed under: Mus musculus (house mouse)
Lineage: Eukaryota; Metazoa; Chordata; Mammalia; Rodentia; Muridae
Description: predicted gene, 30593
Source: RNAcentral